Molecule: ribosomal RNA, 492 nt
Filed under: uncultured bacterium
Lineage: Bacteria
Description: partial 16S ribosomal RNA
Rfam family: Bacterial small subunit ribosomal RNA
Source: RNAcentral
AUUGAACGCUGGCGGCAUGCUUUACACAUGCAAGUCGAACGGUAACAGGCCUUCGGGUGCUGACGAGUGGCGAACGGGUGAGUAAUGCAUCGGAACGUACCCAGAGGUGGGGGAUAACGCAGCGAAAGCUGUGCUAAUACCGCAUGUGAUCUGAGGAUGAAAGCGGGGGACCGAGCAGCAACGUUUGGCCUCGCGCCUUUGGAGCGGCCGAUGUCGGAUUAGCUAGUUGGUGGGGUAAAGGCCUACCAAGGCGACGAUCCGUAGCUGGUCUGAGAGGAUGACCAGCCACACUGGAACUGAGACACGGCCCAGACUCCUACGGGAGGCAGCAGUGGGGAAUUUUGGACAAUGGGCGCAAGCCUGAUCCAGCAAUGCCGCGUGCGGGAAGAAGGCCUUCGGGUUGUAAACCGCUUUUGGCAGGAACGAAACGGUGUCCGCUAAUACCGGGCGCUAAUGACGGUACCUACAGAAUAAGCACCGGCUAACUUCGUG